GCUAGUGGCAAUGAGUUGCUCUUUAUAAGUGCCCAGCUCUGGCUCAGAGCUGCUGCCCCAACCAUCAUUUAGCUUGUCCACAUUACUAAGCCCUUGUUUUCUUGAUCACAACAUGAUCAGGCAGUAAACUGGACUGCUCAGGAUGCAUAUGCAGCGAGAAGCCAGGCAUCUCCUAUCACAUGCCCAAAGCAUGGAGAGUCCAGUUGUACAGGUACUGCAUCAGGUCUGCCGCAGGGUCUCCUGCUAAGUGAUUUCUCUUCCGAAGAAACAAAGCAAAACAAAGGAUUUGGGAGCUAGCUUGCUGAGAGUGAAGAAGAGGGUCUGUGAAAUGUGUCCUUGGAUGACCCGGGAAUAAAAAUCUGAUAUUUUUAUUUUCUUUCCUUUCAUUAUCCAGGGUUGAAGCAGUUCCAAAUUUGGCCACCAUCCCUGACCCUAAUGGAAAACCAUUGGAAAGGCAGGAAAAGGAGAUCAGCUGAUGGAGGAAGAGGAAGGAGAAGAGACAGCAGUGGAAGAUUGGAGUGGUGGUUAAGCUGUAUGGAGUCCAGAAGUACAGCACAAAGUCACUCAGCAGGUGUUCUUCAUUACCAGGUCCAUCAAGGGUGCCCAGGGUUGCUUUCUUUUUAGGUUUUGAAUGACCGGACCAACCUUGCUGUGAUUAACACCCUGGACUCCUGGAUAGAGAUAUUGAACCAUGUGGUAUUUAAUUCAUAAUGCUGCAGCUUAUCACUGUAUUCCUCAGCAUUAUGCCUACAUAUCAACCAAUCACUUUUUUUUAAGCAUGGAAAAUUGCAAAAGGAUGAUUUGCCUUGCGGACUGAGACAUCAAAAUAAAACCACUCAUGCAUAAA
Molecule: long non-coding RNA, 847 nt
Organism: Ornithorhynchus anatinus (platypus)
Lineage: Eukaryota; Metazoa; Chordata; Mammalia; Monotremata; Ornithorhynchidae
Exons: 5
Source: RefSeq, a predicted model, not a curated record